RNAcentral lists this ribosomal RNA (279 nucleotides) under uncultured bacterium. RNAcentral describes it as "partial 16S ribosomal RNA". It matches the Rfam family "Bacterial small subunit ribosomal RNA", at positions 506 to 784 of the family's 1533-position model. The record is from RNAcentral.
UGCCAGCCGCCGCGGUAAUACGUAGGUGGCAAGCGUUGUCCGGAUUUAUUGGGUUUAAAGGGUGCGUAGGCGGUCCUAUAAGUCAGUGCUGAAAUAUCCCGGCUUAACCGGGAGGGUGGCAUUGAUACUGCAGGACUUGAGUAAAGUUGAGGUAGGCGGAAUUGACGGUGUAGCGGUGAAAUGCUUAGAUAUCGUCAAGAACACCGAUAGUGUAGACAGCUUACUAAGCUUUAACUGACGCUGAGGCACGAAAGUGUGGGGAUCAAACAGGAUUAGAUA